CAGAAGCGAGGCAGCGUAGCCUUACACAGGCUUGCCUGGCGGUACCUCCGACUCGACGGCUUGCGCGAGGUAACAGCUCCCGGAUAAAAGGGAACCAUUCGUCGAUCGAGUUCUACGGUGGCUCUGCUUCCGGCGGCAGCGGAGACGAGGCCUCCGCGGGAUGGACAGCUGGGACAACAGCCAGCCAACGCCGAUAGGCGACCGCCAGCUUCAUCGCCGCCGUUGGCGCCUCGCCCUGCGAGCGAGACCUCGACCGUUUCUACUAGCCAGUACAAGGCCCGCCACAACUUCCUGGCCGAGGCAACGUCAGCUGCUGGAACAAUUUAUGGCAGUCUCCCCUGCAGAAUGGCCCUUCGGGGAUCUCCAGUGUCAAGAAGUGUGCAAGAUACUCCUACAAGGUGUGCAACAGCACCGAUUAGUGCAUUGAAUAAGGCUUCCAGUUUAUGAACAAAAGAGAGCGCUGCCUCAGUUGGCACAGU
Molecule: long non-coding RNA, 479 nt
Organism: Rhipicephalus microplus (southern cattle tick)
Lineage: Eukaryota; Metazoa; Arthropoda; Arachnida; Ixodida; Ixodidae
Source: RefSeq, a predicted model, not a curated record